AUACGUAGGGGGCGAGCGUUGUCCGGAAUUACUGGGCGUAAAGGGUGCGUAGGCGGCCUGAGAAGUCAUGUGUGAAAUACCUGGGCUCAACCUGGGUGUUGCACAUGAAACUGGCGGGCUUGAGUGCAGGAGAGGGAAGUGGAAUUCCUAGUGUAGCGGUGAAAUGCGUAGAGAUUAGGAGGAACACCAGUGGCGAAGGCGGCUUCCUGGCCUGUAACUGACGCUGAGGCACGAAAGCGUGGGGAGCAAACAGGAUUAGAUACCCUGGUAGUCCACGCCGUAAACGAUGGAUACUAGGUGUAGGUGCUGAUUGAGGCAUCUGUGCCGUAGUUAACGCAAUAAGUAUCCCGCCUGGGGAGUACGGCCGCAAGGCUGAA
RNAcentral lists this ribosomal RNA (377 nucleotides) under uncultured bacterium. Its description in RNAcentral is "bacterial SSU rRNA". It matches the Rfam family "Bacterial small subunit ribosomal RNA", at positions 523 to 898 of the family's 1533-position model. The record is from RNAcentral.